GAUGAACGCUGGCGGCGUGCCUAAUACAUGCAAGUCGAGCGAACAGACGAGAGUGCUUGCACUCUCUGACGUUAGCGGCGGACGGGUGAGUAACACGUGGGUAACCUACCUAUAAGACUGGGAUAACUUCGGGAAACCGGAGCUAAUACCGGAUAAUAUUUAGCUUCGCAUGAAGCAAUAGUGAAAGACGGUUCUGCUGUCACUUAUAGAUGGACCCGCGGUGUAUUAGCUAGUUGGUGAGGUAACGGCUCACCAAGGCAACGAUACAUAGCCGACCUGAGAGGGUGAUCGGCCACACUGGGACUGAGACACGGCCCAGACUCCUACGGGAGGCAGCAGUAGGGAAUCUUCCGCAAUGGACGGAAGUCUGACGGAGCAAUGCCGCGUGAGUGAAGAAGGUUUUCGGAUCGUAAAACUCUGUUGUAAGGGAAGAACAAGUACGUUAGUAACUGAACGUACCUUGACGGUACCUUACCAGAAAGCCACGGCUAACUACGU
RNAcentral lists this ribosomal RNA (498 nucleotides) under uncultured bacterium. Its description in RNAcentral is "partial 16S ribosomal RNA". It matches the Rfam family "Bacterial small subunit ribosomal RNA", at positions 28 to 506 of the family's 1533-position model. The record is from RNAcentral.